This 518-nucleotide ribosomal RNA is filed under the name uncultured bacterium. RNAcentral's name for it is "bacterial SSU rRNA". It matches the Rfam family "Bacterial small subunit ribosomal RNA", at positions 8 to 518 of the family's 1533-position model. The record is from RNAcentral.
AGAGUUUGAUUAUGGCUCAGGAUGAACGCUAGCUACAGGCUUAACACAUGCAAGUCGAGGGGCAGCAUUGGAGUAGCAAUACUCAGAUGGCGACCGGCGCACGGGUGAGUAACACGUAUCCAACCUGCCGCUUACUCGGGGAUAGCCCUUCGAAAGAAAGAUUAAUACCCGAUGGUAUAAAGAGUUCGCAUGUUCUCUUUAUUAAAGAAUUUCGGUAAGCGAUGGGGAUGCGUUCCAUUAGAUAGUUGGCGGGUAACGGCCCACCAAGUCUACGAUGGAUAGGGGUUCUGAGAGGAAGGUCCCCCACAUUGGAACUGAGACACGGUCCAAACUCCUACGGGAGGCAGCAGUGAGGAAUAUUGGUCAAUGGACGAGAGUCUGAACCAGCCAAGUAGCGGUAGAAGGAUGACUGCCCUAUGGGUUGUAAACUUCUUUUAUAAGGGAAUAAAGUGAGGGACGUGUCCCUUUUUGUAUGUACCUUAUGAAUAAGGAUCGGCUAACUCCGUGCCAGCAGCAGC